AGGGAGGCUUUUUUGUAAGUGUUGAGGGAGAUGAAAUCCCUUCCUGAGGUGCUGAAUCAGUCCGAGCUUGGAAGGCAUAAUUAGCCUCUAGUGAUGGGAGAUUUGAUUUUGCCUUGGCAGAUGAUGAUCGAGGAUUAACAGUAAAAAAAAUUAUACCCCUCUUGGAUCAGGUUGGAGAUGGUUGGUGUUGGUGGAUUAAAUUCAGAUGAGUAUAUAUUGUGCAACAAUAACUCCUUGCCUUGGAUUGCCAGAAAGUGCAUCCGGAUCGCCAAGUUCCGAGAGUUUUUUGAUUGCUAGAAUGGCGAUAGGUUCUUGAAAGCCAAACUGACGCUAUCAUGUCUUUUUCCGCAGGUUGCUCCGGUUAAAAGAGUUUGCUAAGGGGUAGGGAUGUUGAGAUCCAAAUGAUGCAGUGGAAGGGGCUUGCUUUGAAGAGGGGCUGUUGAGAACCGAUUAGUGGAGAGGGUCAAAUGUGGUUCUUUUGCUUGGCUUGGGAUUUGUGGGUUUGUCUGAGAUAUUGGCAGUUUGGGGUUCUCAGCUCGUAACCAUGGAACGAAGGAAGAUUUAUGAGAAUAGAUUUUAGAAAAGUGUAGAAAAUUUGAGAAUGAUCUAAUCUUCCACAAGCAUAGCAAAAAUCUAACAACCUUUCGUAUUUGAAAGAAACCCAAGUCUCUAAGUUGUAGGCUCUUGGGAGAGUGAAACCUUGUUUCAGUAGAAACGUGAUGUUAAUCUCAACUUUUAUCCUGAUAAAUUCCUACAUGUAAUUCCAAAUUGGAUAUCUUCUUCUAACUCUAGUAAGUUGCCCAAAGCUUUUCUAAUACAUGUAGCAUUGUCAUGAGUCAUAUGGUCCAAUGGGUGGCCAUGUAUUAGCACAAGAAAAGCUAAGUGGUUUAGACAAAUUUCCUACAAUGUAGAACCAGGUGGCCACGGUUUAAGGAUCAGCAAGUGUCUUUCAAAGUUCCAUAAGGCUUGGUUGAGAACUCUGUGUUUGUCUUGAGGGGAUUGGAAAGUGAAUAAGAACAAAUUUUCUUUCAGGUCUUCUAUUAAGAAUUUUAAUAUGAAAAUCCAUACAGUUUUGAUGCUUGCAUAAAUUGCAAAUUUGUUUAAAGGGCGUGUUGUAACUAGACGCGCUACCAAUGCUAGCUCUGAUAUUUUUAUUUUUAUUUUUAUUUUUUUUUCUUCUUUCACUGCCAAUUCUAGCUUGAGAUCUUACCGUGCGAGAGUUUCAGUUUGUGAUAUCAGGAAUCCAUUUCCAAUUUAGGUGGAGAUUGUAACUGGGUUUUGAGUUAUGAUUUUAACAUAAAGGGGACAACUCUAUAAAGGAGUAGGGGUUCACUGGGGAGUGAGGAGAGACCAGAGAGAGAGAGGUUCAAUUCUAUCAAGAAUUUUACUUGCUUGAAUUGGAAACAUAUACAACUAUUUAAUAUUACCAAACCUUUCAUUUA
Long non-coding RNA from Juglans microcarpa x Juglans regia, 1442 nucleotides. RefSeq lists it as uncharacterized. The record is from RefSeq and is a predicted model, not a curated record. Lineage: Eukaryota; Viridiplantae; Streptophyta; Magnoliopsida; Fagales; Juglandaceae. The transcript is spliced from 2 exons.